CGUGUAGGCGGUCAGGUAAGUGGAAUGUGAAAUGCCCCGGCUCACCCGGGGACCGGCAUCCCAAACUGCCUGGCUUGAGUAUGGGAGAGGAUGGAGGAAUUCCUGGUGUAGCGGUGAAAUGCGUAGAUAUCAGGAGGAACACCGGUGGCGAAGGCGUCCAUCUGGCCCGAUACUGACGCUGAGGCGCGAAAGCUAGGGGAGCAAACG
Molecule: ribosomal RNA, 207 nt
Filed under: uncultured Latescibacterota bacterium
Lineage: Bacteria; Pseudomonadati; Candidatus Latescibacterota
Description: uncultured Latescibacteria bacterium partial 16S ribosomal RNA
Rfam family: Bacterial small subunit ribosomal RNA
Source: RNAcentral